Molecule: ribosomal RNA, 433 nt
Filed under: uncultured bacterium
Lineage: Bacteria
Description: partial 16S ribosomal RNA
Rfam family: Bacterial small subunit ribosomal RNA
Source: RNAcentral
AACGAGCGCUGGCGGCAUGCCUAACACAUGCAAGUCGAACGAGACCUUCGGGUCUAGUGGCGCACGGGUGCGUAACGCGUGGGAACCUGCCUUUAGGUUCGGAAUAACUCAGAGAAAUUUGAGCUAAUACCGGAUGAUGUCUUCGGACCAAAGAUUUAUCGCCUUUAGAUGGGCCCGCGUUGGAUUAGCUAGUUGGUGGGGUAAAGGCCUACCAAGGCGACGAUCCAUAGCUGGUCUGAGAGGAUGAUCAGCCACACUGGGACUGAGACACGGCCCAGACUCCUACGGGAAGCAGCAGUGGGGAAUAUUGGACAAUGGGCGAAAGCCUGAUCCAGCAAUGCCGCGUGAGUGAUGAAGGCCUUAGGGUUGUAAAGCUCUUUUACCCGAGAUGAUAAUGACAGUAUCGGGAGAAUAAGCUCCGGCUAACUCCGUG